CUUGAAAGGGAAAGAGGAAGCAGCAACACCACCAUGAAGACGAAGCAGAGGUAGAUAGAGAUCCCAAGACGAACCAGAAGAAGAGGAAUCAAAAGCCUCGAUCAUCACCACCAUGUCUCAAACCUCAGCAUUCUAUGAUCGCCCUGUUUCUCGAUCAUCAAACCGAAUCUCACAACAACAAAUCAACCAGAGGAAAUCUAUAAAGGUAGAAGCUUUACACCGAUGAUGAAUCAGAGAAUCGAAGGCGAAGAGUGAUAUGCUUUGUUGUUCGACAAGAGAACGAACUAAGGAGAUUGAUUUGUAGGGUUUAGAAGAAGAAGAAGAAGAAGAAGAAGAAGAAGAAGAAGAACAAGAAGAAGAAGAAGAAGAAGAAGCGUUGAGUCGAGAGAAACAGAGAAUUUUGAUUUCUUGAUCAAACGGAAG
Molecule: long non-coding RNA, 423 nt
Filed under: Capsella rubella
Lineage: Eukaryota; Viridiplantae; Streptophyta; Magnoliopsida; Brassicales; Brassicaceae
Description: long non-coding RNA (CRUB_LNC002951)
Source: RNAcentral